RNAcentral lists this ribosomal RNA (254 nucleotides) under uncultured bacterium. RNAcentral describes it as "partial 16S ribosomal RNA". It matches the Rfam family "Bacterial small subunit ribosomal RNA", at positions 524 to 776 of the family's 1533-position model. The record is from RNAcentral.
UACAGAGGGGGCAAGCGUUGUUCGGAAUUACUGGGCGUAAAGGGCGCGUAGGCGGCCACCGCAAGUCGACUGUGAAAUCUCCGGGCUUAACCCGGAAAGGUCAGCCGAUACUGCGGGGCUAGAGUGCAGAGGGGGCAACUGGAAUUCUCGGUGUAGCGGUGAAAUGCGUAGAUAUCGAGAGGAACACCUGCGGCGAAGGCGGGUUGCUGGGCUGACACUGACGCUGAUGCGCGAAAGCUAGGGGAGCGAACGGG